UACGAAGGGGGCUAGCGUUGUUCGGAAUUACUGGGCGUAAAGCGCACGUAGGCGGAUAUUUAAGUCAGGUGUGAAAUCCCGGGGCUCAACCCCGGAACUGCCUUUGAUACUGGGUAUCUAGAGUCCAGAAGAGGUGAGUGGAAUUCCGAGUGUAGAGGUGAAAUUCGUAGAUAUUCGGAGGAACACCAGUGGCGAAGGCGGCUCACUGGUCUGGUACUGACGCUGAGGUGCGAAAGCGUGGGGAGCAAACAGG
RNAcentral lists this ribosomal RNA (253 nucleotides) under uncultured bacterium. RNAcentral's name for it is "partial 16S ribosomal RNA". It matches the Rfam family "Bacterial small subunit ribosomal RNA", at positions 524 to 776 of the family's 1533-position model. The record is from RNAcentral.